RNAcentral lists this ribosomal RNA (818 nucleotides) under Demequina sp. BR-81. RNAcentral's name for it is "bacterial SSU rRNA". It matches the Rfam family "Bacterial small subunit ribosomal RNA", at positions 56 to 883 of the family's 1533-position model. The record is from RNAcentral. Lineage: Bacteria; Bacillati; Actinomycetota; Actinomycetes; Micrococcales; Demequinaceae.
UGCAAGUCGAACGGUGAAGCGAGAGCUUGCUCUCGUGGAUCAGUGGCGAACGGGUGAGUAACACGUGAGUAACCUGCCCCAGACUCUGGGAUAAGCCUUGGAAACGAGGUCUAAUACCGGAUACGAGACGAGAUCGCAUGGUCAUCGUCUGGAAAGAAUUUCGGUCUGGGAUGGACUCGCGGCCUAUCAGCUUGUUGGUGAGGUAAUGGCUCACCAAGGCGACGACGGGUAGCCGGCCUGAGAGGGCGACCGGCCACACUGGAACUGAGACACGGUCCAGACUCCUACGGGAGGCAGCAGUGGGGAAUAUUGCACAAUGGGCGCAAGCCUGAUGCAGCGACGCCGCGUGGGGGAUGAAGGCCUUCGGGUUGUAAACCCCUUUCAGCAGGGAAGAAGCGAAAGUGACGGUACCUGCAGAAGAAGCGCCGGCUAACUACGUGCCAGCAGCCGCGGUAAUACGUAGGGCGCAAGCGUUGUCCGGAAUUAUUGGGCGUAAAGAGCUCGUAGGCGGUUUGUCGCGUCUGCUGUGAAAACCCGAGGCUCAACCUCGGGCCUGCAGUGGGUACGGGCAGACUAGAGUGUGGUAGGGGAGACUGGAAUUCCUGGUGUAGCGGUGGAAUGCGCAGAUAUCAGGAGGAACACCAAUGGCGAAGGCAGGUCUCUGGGCCACUACUGACGCUGAGGAGCGAAAGCAUGGGGAGCGAACAGGAUUAGAUACCCUGGUAGUCCAUGCCGUAAACGGUGGGCACUAGAUGUGGGGCUCUUUCCAUGAGUUCCGCGUCGCAGCUAACGCAUUAAGUGCCCCGCCUGGGGAGUAC